CCUACGGGAGGCAGCAGUAAGGAAUAUUGGUCAAUGGGGGCAACCCUGAACCAGCCAUGCCGCGUGCAGGAAGACGGCCCUAUGGGUUGUAAACUGCUUUUGAACUAGAGAAAACCUUGGUACGUGUACCGAGUUGAUAGUAUAGUUAGAAUAAGCAUCGGCUAACUUCGUGCCAGCAGCCGCGGUAAGACGAAGGAUGCAAGCGUUAUCCGGAUUCAUUGGGUUUAAAGGGUGCGUAGGCGGACUGAUAAGUCAGUGGUGAAAUCUCUCAGCUUAACUGAGAAACUGCCAUUGAUACUGUCAGUCUAGAGUACAGAUGAUGUGGGCGGAAUAUGACAUGUAGUGGUGAAAUACUUAGAUAUGUCAUAGAACACCGAUUGCGAAGGCAGCUCACAAAACUGUAACUGACGCUGAGGCACGAAAGUGCGGGGAUCAAACAGGAUUAGAUACCCUGGUAGUCCGCACCGUAAACGAUGAUUACUCGUUGUUGGCAAUAUGACCGUCAGCGACCAAGCGAAAGCGAUAAGAAUCCACCUGGGGAGUACGCCGGCAACGGUGAAACUCAAAGGAAUUGACGGCGNGAGAGNGCGACGGACGACACGAGGGAGGAGG
RNAcentral lists this ribosomal RNA (612 nucleotides) under uncultured bacterium. RNAcentral describes it as "bacterial SSU rRNA". It matches the Rfam family "Bacterial small subunit ribosomal RNA", at positions 338 to 953 of the family's 1533-position model. The record is from RNAcentral.